UUUCUUUCCAUUUGGUAGAGAGACCAAUUCCCAAGUAUUGUUCUUAUAAAGUGCCUUCAUUUCCAAGUCCAUGGCUUGUUUCCAUUUCCUGUCAGACAAUGCCUCAGACAAGGAAGUAGGUAUUGUGGUAGUGUUUAGACUUGUGAGGAAGGCUUUAUGGGUAGUUGAUAAUUGUUCAAACCAUAAGUAAUUGGAUAGAGGGUAAAGUNNNNNNNNNNNNNNNNNNNUAUGGGCAAUUGGGAGAUGCGAGUCUUUAGAGUGUAUUGGUGUUACUUCUCUUGAUUUUGGUUUUUUAUGUUUUAUCGGGUUGGGUUCUUGUAAGGUUGAGCUAGAUUCUGGUACCUGAACAAGAGAAAAGAAAAUUCGCAAAUUGAAUCACUAGAUUUUGAAGGGUCAAGGAAUGUUUCUUCAUGUAAUGUUGGAUUGGAUUCAUGGAUAUGAGUAGAUUCGGGAAUGAUAUUCUUUUUC
This 468-nucleotide long non-coding RNA is filed under the name Trifolium pratense (red clover). Its description in RNAcentral is "long non-coding RNA (TPRA_LNC010970)". Lineage: Eukaryota; Viridiplantae; Streptophyta; Magnoliopsida; Fabales; Fabaceae. The record is from RNAcentral.